UUGAAGAGUUUGAUCAUGGCUCAGAUUGAACGCUGGCGGCAGGCCUAACACAUGCAAGUCGAACGGUAACAGGAAUCAGCUUGCUGAUUCGCUGACGAGUGGCGGACGGGUGAGUAAUGUCUGGGAAACUGCCUGAUGGAGGGGGAUAACUACUGGAAACGGUAGCUAAUACCGCAUAACGUCGCAAGACCAAAGAGGGGGACCUUCGGGCCUCUUGCCAUCGGAUGUGCCCAGAUGGGAUUAGCUGGUAGGUGGGGUAACGGCUCACCUAGGCGACGAUCCCUAGCUGGUCUGAGAGGAUGACCAGCCACACUGGAACUGAGACACGGUCCAGACUCCUACGGGAGGCAGCAGUGGGGAAUAUUGCACAAUGGGCGCAAGCCUGAUGCAGCCAUGCCGCGUGUAUGAAGAAGGCCUUCGGGUUGUAAAGUACUUUCAGCGGGGAGGAAGGGAGUAAAGUUAAUACCUUUGCUCAUUGACGUUACCCGCAGAAGAAGCACCGGCUAACUCCGUGCCAGCAGCCGCGGUAAUACGGAGGGUGCAAGCGUUAAUCGGAAUUACUGGGCGUAAAGCGCACGCAGGCGGUUUGUUAAGUCAGAUGUGAAAUCCCCGGGCUCAACCUGGGAACUGCAUCUGAUACUGGCAAGCUUGAGUCUCGUAGAGGGGGGUAGAAUUCCAGGUGUAGCGGUGAAAUGCGUAGAGAUCUGGAGGAAUACCGGUGGCGAAGGCGGCCCCCUGGACGAAGACUGACGCUCAGGUGCGAAAGCGUGGGGAGCAAACAGGAUUAGAUACCCUGGUAGUCCACGCCGUAAACGAUGUCGACUUGGAGGUUGUGCCCUUGAGGCGUGGCUUCCGGAGCUAACGCGUUAAGUCGACCGCCUGGGGAGUACGGCCGCAAGGUUAAAACUCAAAUGAAUUGACGGGGGCCCGCACAAGCGGUGGAGCAUGUGGUUUAAUUCGAUGCAACGCGAAGAACCUUACCUGGUCUUGACAUCCACGGAAGUUUUCAGAGAUGAGAAUGUGCCUUCGGGAACCGUGAGACAGGUGCUGCAUGGCUGUCGUCAGCUCGUGUUGUGAAAUGUUGGGUUAAGUCCCGCAACGAGCGCAACCCUUAUCCUUUGUUGCCAGCGGUCCGGCCGGGAACUCAAAGGAGACUGCCAGUGAUAAACUGGAGGAAGGUGGGGAUGACGUCAAGUCAUCAUGGCCCUUACGACCAGGGCUACACACGUGCUACAAUGGCGCAUACAAAGAGAAGCGACCUCGCGAGAGCAAGCGGACCUCAUAAAGUGCGUCGUAGUCCGGAUUGGAGUCUGCAACUCGACUCCAUGAAGUCGGAAUCGCUAGUAAUCGUGGAUCAGAAUGCCACGGUGAAUACGUUCCCGGGCCUUGUACACACCGCCCGUCACACCAUGGGAGUGGGUUGCAAAAGAAGUAGGUAGCUUAACCUUCGGGAGGGCGCUUACCACUUUGUGAUUCAUGACUGGGGUGAAGUCGUAACAAGGUAACCGUAGGGGAACCUGCGGUUGGAUCACCUCCUU
This 1538-nucleotide ribosomal RNA is filed under the name Escherichia fergusonii. RNAcentral describes it as "bacterial SSU rRNA". It matches the Rfam family "Bacterial small subunit ribosomal RNA". Lineage: Bacteria; Pseudomonadati; Pseudomonadota; Gammaproteobacteria; Enterobacterales; Enterobacteriaceae. The record is from RNAcentral.